RNA transcript from Pygocentrus nattereri (red-bellied piranha), 3247 nucleotides. RefSeq lists it as uncharacterized. The record is from RefSeq and is a predicted model, not a curated record. Lineage: Eukaryota; Metazoa; Chordata; Actinopteri; Characiformes; Serrasalmidae. The transcript is spliced from 11 exons.
UGAAGCUGAUCUCAGUGCUGCAGGACUAGUGUAGACUCAGUUCAGUUUUGUGCUGUAUCCUUUAAAAAUGGUUCUGGGGAGACUGAGCGAAUUUUUAAAAGACCACCCGUGGAGUAGUUAUGCAAUAGUCAACCUUGUUGUCGUUGCUUUAGAAAAGCUUGUAGAGAACGACUUCGUGUGCCCCUGUAGACCUCAGUUUACAGAGGCAUUUUUCUCUUUAUACUUGUUGAUGCCCCUGCUUGUAACUCUGAACUUCAGCUUUUACAUGUGGAAAAGCUGGUCUGAUUCAGAACUUCCAGAACAACUGAAAUGUUGCCCAGGCUGGUGUAAAUGCUUUAUGAAGUUUCUGACCUGUGCUUUUCCAUCUUUUUUUUGGCUGGUCCUUUUUUCGGUGAUGGCAGAUUUGUGGCCUGUUUGAUCACUCAACUAAAAGAACAUCAUGUUGACAGCAUUGCACUGCCUCCGUGGGAAUGGUGUGACAGAAACCGAACACUGACUGAAAAGCAGGAUCAUGUACAGAUAUCAUUUUACAUAUCCAAGAUUUCAGUUUUUAGUGUCUUCUCCACCAUCCUGCUUCUAGCACUGAUUUUUCAGUGCUGUGCCAGAUGCUUUGCUAGAUGCUGUGCCAGAUACUGUGGCAGAAUCUGUAAUGGAUGCUACAUCAAAAGCUGUUGCAGAUGCUACAUCAGAUGCUGUAGCAGACAUUGUGGUGGUUGCUGUUGUGGAUGGUGUGAAGAAAAACUAGUCAGCAAAACAGAAGCGUUACACUCUUCAGUGCUCACAGUAUACUGUGUGAAAAAGCGCAUUGAGCAGCCUGUGAGCAAAAAAUACCGUCCCAGAGUCACGGAAGCAGAAAAGGUGGCUCUGUGUUCCGUCUCUGAUGGUACUACAGUUUAUCUGAUUACUCUUAAAGGAGAUCAGAUCUCUAAACUACAGGAGGGAAAGACUUACAUUAUAGAAAACGCCACAGUGAAGGACGACCAUCCAGUCCCUAAAUUGAGCCUGGAGAAAAAAAACUCACGGUUGUUCCGGACGGCUCCACUGCAGCUGGAUGAGAAAUUAAUCCGUAAAGCGCAAGAGAGCAUCGAUCCUUCUACAGAGAGAGCAGCUCUGAAUGAUCCAGCACUGUACCUGAAAAAGGGCUACAUAACCCUGACAGGAGAAGUUGUUUCACCGAUUCAGACAGACAUCCCUGUGAAAGAUAUUACGAUCAAGGAGGCUGGUGACACAGUGACAGUAUAUCUUACGAAGAAGCCAGCAACUGUAUCACUUGAGACAGGCCAGAAGAUUGAGAUCUCUCACGUCAAAGUGAAGAAAAACAAGAUAUUUGGAAAAAAACUGAUGGCGUCUUACUACACAGUUAUUUCUGAUAGUGAAGGAAGCCAUAUAAAGGUUAAGGGAUAUGAUACAGACAAUAAAGUUCUUCUGACAGAAGAAUGGAAGGAACUGAGUGUCCCCUCCAGUGUCUGGCAUGAAGAUCUUGACCAGCUGCUACAAACACUGCCAGCAGAGUUGAAAAUAACCAGAUGGGACCAAAAGGUUACAAAAGUGGAAAAGGCUCCUUUUGAAAAAUCUUCAGUGUACAGAGUACACUGUGUGGUAAAGCGCACUGUGCAGCGCACGAGCAAAUAUGACUUUUACAGAGACUCUGUAAGAGUCAGGGAGAGAGAAGAUGUGGCUCUGUGUUCCGUCUCUGAUGGUACUGCAGUUUAUCUGAUUACUCUUAAAGGGGAUCAGAUCUCUGAACUACAGGAGGGAGAGACUUACAUUAUAAACAACGCCACAGUGAAGGAGGACCGUCCAGUCCCUGAAAUGAUCCUGGGAAAUGAAACAGAAGUGUUCCGGAUGGAUCCACUGCAGCUGGAUGAGAAAUUAAUGCAUAAAGCGCAAGAGAGCAUCAAUCCUUCUUCAGAGAGAGCAGCUCUGAAUGAUCCAGCACUGUACCUGAAAAAGGGCUACAUAACCCUGACAGGAGAAGUUGUUUCACUAAGCGCUCCAAAGUGGAUUGAGGGAGACAUCCUUGCCCCUGUGAGAGAUGUUGAGAUCCAGGAGGCUGGUGUCACAAAGACACUCUCACUUCACAAGGAUGCAGCAACUGUGCCACUUGAGACAGGCCAGAUGAUUGAGAUCACUCACGUCAAAGUGGAGGAAAACGACACACAGGAACAAAAACUGAUGUCAUCUGACUACACAGUCAUUUCUCUAAGCGCUCCAAAGUGGAUUGAGGGAGACAUCCUUGCCCCUGUGAGAGAUGUUGAGAUCCAGGAGGCUGGUGUCACAAAGACACUCUCACUUCACAAGGAUGCAGCAACUGUGCCACUUGAGACAGGCCAGAUGAUUGAGAUCACUCACGUCAAAGUGGAGGAAAACGACACACAGGAACAAAAACUGAUGUCAUCUGACUACACAGUCAUUUCUGUACAACAGGGAAGCAGAGUUGAGGAAAGAAGAAGCCUCUUACAGCAUGAAGGACUUGCUACCUCAGAUGACAGCAAUUUUCUUUCAGCCAGAAGGGACCAAGACCUUAUAGAUAUGGAAAUUUUUAAAUUCUGAAUUGUAAAUGUGUUCUGCGCUGCACAUCAUGUUCAGCAUUGUUUCUUGAUGCUUUACCAACUUCUAUCCAUUUACAUUUACAGCAUUUAGCAGAUGCUCUUAUCCAGAGCGACUUACAAGAAGUGCUUUGCUUUGUACUCUCCAGUCUUACACUUGUUCUUUUUUUAACCAAAAAUAUUGUUGUAAAUUAUUUCUAAAUUGAAUUAAUCAUUUCUGUAUGUUCAUUUCCUUUUGCCUGAUGUCAGCUGGGAUAGGCUCCAGCAACCCCCACAACCCAGAAGGAGAAGCGGCUUAGAAGCUAAGGUCACUCUGUAUUGCGUGGAACGCAACAUCACUACUUGUGGUGAUCCAAAGAAGACAAGUUCUCAGCUUUCCUUCUGCGCCAGAGCCAUCAUGAGCGUCAGUCCAUUCCUCACCUGUCCAGAUGAUUCCGGUGGACCCCUUCUGAGGAGAGAAGGCUCUGCUGAUGUCAUAUAUGGAGUGAAGAUCUCAGAUGACAACUUCAUGGACGUCUGUGCUGAUGCUGUCUGGCAGUGGAUUCAUGAGACCAUUAAUGAAGGAUAAACCAGCUGGAUCUGAACUCUUGAAGACGAUGCCAUUACAGGCAUAAUGGCUUCCUGCUCCUGGAGGAACAUUUACAUAUUUACACCUACAUGUCUUCUGAGUUUGAAUACAGAAAGUUGAUGAUGAUAUA